AUUCAGGUUCAGCCUCAAACCCUAACAAUGCUGACAGUAGGUCCCCUCGAGAUACAAAAAAGGAAGUGAUUGCCACAUUGUCAAAAAACUGCUAUGAACUAGAAACAAAACAAAGCAAGCAAGCAGUUUUGGGAACUAUCCAUCUCAAUAGCAAUAUUGCUCACCAACUGGGCUCUGUCCUCCUGUGAGCUUGCAAGAACAUGAGAGACUUUUUAAUGGACUGUCUGUCCCACAAUUAUGUCCUGCUAUGGGAGCACACUUGCUAUGUCUGGGACCAUACCAUACAUGUGUUUUGAGAGAAGUCAAGCUUCUGAAGCCAGCUGUACUGAUGUGAGAGAAUUCAGUUUUGUUCUAGCAGAGCACUGCAUUUUGUUUAAAGGGUCCCAAAAAUCUUAUGUAAAAGCAUGCUUAACCACCACAUUGGCUUGAUGGAGGUGUUAACAGCACUUCACGUUUUUCCUUAUACAACCUAGCCACAGUGCUCACAAUGUUCUACAGAGUGUAAGACUUCCUGGAUAGAUUUCAAGAACAACCAGUCCCAAAGCAGCCAUCAUCAUGCUAAUACCACUCCGCAGGUGAUGCUGUUUUUAUAGGUGCAUUUAAUGCUUUCAACUCUUAGCUUUGUUUUCAGAGUACUGUAAAAACUGCAUUUAAGCAAAGCAAGGGGCACCCAUGUGGCCUAUAUUGGACUCAAACAACUUUGUAAGUUCAGUCAUUUUAUAAAGCUUGAGGAAAGCAUAGUUGUUUUGAAUGUGUGAUAAAGGAUGAGUAUUUAAAUCCUUAGAGAAGAGCUGAGACACUAAAGACUGACAUGAGAAUUUCCCUUAAACUAGACAUUAGCCUACAUAAUUCCUACUGUACCACAAAUUGAAGAAAGAUUGUUUUUACUGAUACUCUUUUUCCAGUGACAAUCUGCAUGAGUUAAUGGGCAAUAAGCAAACUUGUUCCUGGACACAACUACAUGCUAUUCAGUAGGCUACUAGUCAAAUGUAUUUCCUAAAACAGGGAUGCUCAACCACCAGCCCAUGGGUCAGAUAUGGCCCUCAGUGUCAUGUCAUCCAACCCGCAGGACUCCACAUGGGUCCAGAAGUUUGGCAGUGGGGGAGCGAUGGCACUGCUCCCCUGCUGCCAAAUCUAUGAACCCAUGGGGUGCCCUUAGCCCUCAGGACCCAACCCUAGUGUGCAGGGAGUAGAAAGGGGCAAUGCUGACCCCAGGACUCGAUCCAGACAGAGGGAACCUGGGCUGUGGGGCCAAAAGGCUCAGUGUCACUGUCCUAGAACAACGGAGGCUACUCUUUUUAGCAUGCCACCAAUUAAGCCACCUUCUGAGUGCCGCUCUCAUCCCCUGCCUGAUCUACUACUUUGAUUUCUGCUGUCAGUUCUGUGCUCCUUGCCUGAACUGCUGCUUUGCUUUCUGCUUCUUGCUAUAUUUGCUGCUGUGCUACCUAUCCCCUUCCUGACCUGCCACGUGCCACACACAGGCUGCUGUGCUCCAGGUUUGCCACCCUGUGCUACAACAUAUGUCUGUGGAAUGUCUAGAUCAUUUACAAAUUAUGUUAAAGAACUGGCUGUCAAUGCACUCUAGUUAUUCUUAUACACCACAGUUAAGAACAUCCAUUAAUAUCUGAAUUCUCUGGUAGUUAAAGAUAGUACACAGAAUGCAAGAAGAGAAAGAAAGAUCAGUUUUACAGUUAACUGCUGCUUUUUAAAAACCUGAAAAUUAAGCAAUUCAGCCACUCCUGAAAGGGCUAAAAUUCACCUUAACAGGUGAUCUCCUUUUUUCACCCCACCCUGCAAGUAUUUGUGUAAUGUGAACUAUAAACAGCUAAUCUUUCAGAAAGGUUCACUGGGAGGG
This is a long non-coding RNA of Gavialis gangeticus (Gharial), 1855 nucleotides long. RefSeq lists it as uncharacterized. The record is from RefSeq and is a predicted model, not a curated record. The transcript has 3 exons. Lineage: Eukaryota; Metazoa; Chordata; Crocodylia; Gavialidae.